CCUUCUCCUUCUUCUUUUAAUAAAUGCUUUGCUUAUUUCCAUCGAUCUGACCAUUCUUUUAGCUAAGUACAAAGAGGACAAAUGAGACCAACAAAACAGCUCACUGGGAUAAUAUUCUGUUUCCCCAUGUGUACAAGAUUUAACCAAGGGGACUGCACAUUCUUCUCAGACUGUAAGUGGCACAGAUUUCCUCACACAUAGUCCUAUUCUGAGACACUUCAAUGGAGACCCAUCCUGUGCUGGAGACUCUGCCACCUGGAAUCCUCUUCCCAUGUCUGGUCUGAUCUCCUGCCUGAGAUGGGCAGCCCUAGAGGCA
Erinaceus europaeus (western European hedgehog) is the source of this 316-nucleotide long non-coding RNA. RefSeq lists it as uncharacterized. NCBI's taxonomy places the organism in Eukaryota, Metazoa, Chordata, Mammalia, Eulipotyphla, Erinaceidae. The record is from RefSeq and is a predicted model, not a curated record. The transcript has 3 exons.